AUGUCAGAUGAGGCCGGUCCAUGAUGAGGAGGGUGGAUUUUAUCUUUAGAGACCGCAUAGAGUGAGGAUAUAAUUGCUCUGUAACAAGCAUAAACUGAUGGUCUGGGACGCCCUUGUCAUAGGCAGCCCCUGGAGAGUCCCUCAUCAUAGCCAGCCCCUGGAGAGUCGAAGAUCCAGAGAAAACAUCCUGGGGUCCUGAGCUGAAGUGUGAUGGGAGGAGUCCUCUGCAUCUCAGUCUGAGCCUGGUCUCCCUCCCAGCCAUGGUCUCACACUAGUACUGCCGGGAAACCAUCCCUCACAGCCAGUCCUGGCAUCGAGCAGUAACUCUGGUCCAACUGUUGUCCAACUCAAAGGUUUAGCCGCUUAGAUUUUCCUAAAACUUGAAUUUCAUUUUCCUCUAGCCAUGGAAUACAGAUUAAUCAUUUACAGUUAAAAUCCAAGUUCAGAUUUUA
Rhinopithecus roxellana (golden snub-nosed monkey) is the source of this 452-nucleotide long non-coding RNA. RefSeq lists it as uncharacterized. The record is from RefSeq and is a predicted model, not a curated record. The transcript has 2 exons. Lineage: Eukaryota; Metazoa; Chordata; Mammalia; Primates; Cercopithecidae.